This 495-nucleotide ribosomal RNA is filed under the name uncultured bacterium. RNAcentral's name for it is "partial 16S ribosomal RNA". The stretch from base 53 to 495 matches the Rfam family "Bacterial small subunit ribosomal RNA", at positions 38 to 507 of the family's 1533-position model. The record is from RNAcentral.
GGGGGGGGGGGGGGGGGGGGGGGGGGGGGGGGGGGAGAGCGGGGAGGGGGGGGGUGGCGGUUCUGGAUGAGGUGCGAACGGGUGAGUAACGCGUAGGUCGCCUGCCUGGUAGCGGGGGAUAACUAUUGGAAACGAUAGCUAAUACCGCAUGACAACAGUUAUUGCAUGAUAACUGUUUAAAAGGGGCAACUGCUCCACUACCAGAUGGACCUGCGUUGUAUUAGCUAGUUGGUGAGGUAACGGCUCACCAAGGCGACGAUACAUAGCCGACCUGAGAGGGUGAUCGGCCACACUGGGACUGAGACACGGCCCAGACUCCUACGGGAGGCAGCAGUAGGGAAUCUUCGGCAAUGGACGGAAGUCUGACCGAGCAACGCCGCGUGAGUGAAGAAGGUUUUCGGAUCGUAAAGCUCUGUUGUAAGAGAAGAACGAGUGUGAGAGUGGAAAGUUCACACUGUGACGGUAUCUUACCAGAAAGGGACGGCUAACUACGUG